UUACUGUGAAAAUUUUGAACUAUCUCAGGCUUGCAGAAGCCACUGUUUGCGUAGGUGUUCCAAAAGAGCUUGGUGUUGCCAUUAGGCAAUGUUGAUUUAGAGGCAAUGUACAAAGCAGUGUGUUGACAUGAUAGAAGCAAGGAUGGCUUGCAAGGAUAGAAGGAGUGAAGGAGCACAGCGAAUGGUGUUGGCAAAAAUUACAGCUCUUGGUGCUACAGCUUUAAAUGAGGCACUGGAUAAAUUAACAUCCUGAAUAACUUUGUGACUUGUACUACCACAGUGUGUCUUAUCAAAGAGUCCUUGAAAAUUAUUUGUUUUCUUGUGGAAACCCAAUGGCUUCAGCUUUCCAAGGCUGUAGGAUUACAUCAGUUUCUGCUGCUA
Non-coding RNA from Python bivittatus (Burmese python), 381 nucleotides. The record is from RefSeq and is a predicted model, not a curated record. NCBI's taxonomy places the organism in Eukaryota, Metazoa, Chordata, Lepidosauria, Squamata, Pythonidae.